Molecule: unclassified non-coding RNA, 2076 nt
Filed under: Hevea brasiliensis (rubber tree)
Lineage: Eukaryota; Viridiplantae; Streptophyta; Magnoliopsida; Malpighiales; Euphorbiaceae
Source: RNAcentral
ACCUUAAAAGUAUUUUAAAUAAUUCACAUGGUAAAUUUUUAAAAUAAAUUUUAUUGAAAAAGGAAUAAAAAUAGAACUAAAAAAGUUGUUGACAUGUACUUAAACAAAGAAACUAAAAGAACAUAAAAGGGAAAGAAAUUAAAAGAAAAUACAAAAUAGAUAAAGGAAAAAAAAAGAUGGAAAUUAAAAAAAAAUGCAAAAUCCAAAAGAAAAAGAAAAAAAUAACAAUUGAGUAAGGUGGGAAUCGAACCUAGGGAGGUAAAGAAAUAACUACAUGCCUCCACCAUUGGAACACAAUCAAAUUCUUAUUCAAAACUUAUCAUACUUAAAUAUAUAACAAUAUUUCAAAUGCUUUACUACUGUAACACAAUCACAUUCUUAUUCAAAACUUAUUAUGCUUAAAUAUAUACAAUAUUUCAAAUGCUGAAGUGAGAUUCUUUGUCCCACAUUGUAAGUUUUGGUGAAGUGGGAGGGUUUGGCUUCAUUAUAAAAAACCCCUUAUAGAGUUUUUAUGUGGUUUAAAGCAUAGAAUUAGUUUUAAUGAGACUUUAAUUAGAUUAAAAAAAAUUUUAAGUCUCCAUAAUGACAUUUUAGUAAUUAAAUUUUUAAAAAAUUUUUAGUUGAGCUUGUUUAUAAUUGUAAACGAGCUGCGCUAGAGCUGGGCUCGUUUAUGAUUUAAAUGAGCUUAAAGCGAGUGGAGCUCGAGCUUGGCUUGUUUAUGAUUUAAAUGAGCUUGAUUUUAAAUGAGCUCGAGCAGAGCUUGAUUUUAAUAAAUUUUAAACGAGUCGAGCUUGAAUCUUAAUAUUAAAGCUUGAAUCGAGCUCAAGCUUGAAACAUAUACUUGCAAGCUGAGCCUGAACAAGUCAAAGCUCGGCUCGACUCGGCUCGAUUAUACCCCUAUUGGUGGCCACAUCUCCCCUCUAAGGAGGACCUUCUAAAUCAUAUCUCCAGCACUCAAUAAGGGGGAAAUUUACAUCCCACUCUGUGCGUUUUAUUUCUUUCUUUCUUUAUUUUUUUUCUUACUUUAGAUAAUGAUCAAGUCCUUUUAGUAAUGAAGUAAACUUCGUUCACCUUUCUUUUUCGUGAUCGGAAUUUGACAAUCAUGCCUUCUCUUGCAUUUGGUAUUACUGGGGCAGUGAUAAAAUGAUUCUUGUAUCAAUGAUUUAUGCUUAUGACUAACAAUUUAACUUUGCUUUUACAUGCUAUCAAAAUGAUUAGGGCCAAGGAAUGUUGAAUCUCUUAAAUCAUUCAUUUUCGAUGAAGCGGGAAAAGCAGCAGCGAAAGCACAGCUUGACAGUGAUCAAGAUUUGUGAUCGUCAGUAAGGUAGGCUUAAAGACCUCUCAACUACACACUGUAAUCUUAAUAGGAGAGGCUUGAAUUCUGUUUUUGAGUUGACUAAUCAAGACCACAGAUUUCGUUUUUCUUCUUUCCUGAAAUAUUUUGCAAAAAUUAUGCAAGGCAAAGAUGAUUGGAAUCCUUCAGAAAUUUCAGUUGCAUGUCAUUUGUUAAUAUAUGCUUUCUCAACCAACUGCUCAGCAAACCCACCCCCCAUCCCGCCUCCCUUCUCUUUCCCUCUCGCUCUCUCUGUCUAAUUGCCCUCUUUCACGUGGUGCAGUUGAGGGACUGUAGAUGGAAGCUGAAGUGAUGGUGAAAGUGUCGCAAUGAAAUCAACAUCGUUUUACUAAACAGCCCAGCUUAGAUCCCCCGGGGGAUCAUAAGCUAAUUUUAUUGACUCGUCUUUUUCUUAUCCAUCCUGUGAUCGGAGUUUGUUUUAAUCUGCUUUAGAAGGGCACUAAUUUAGUAAUUUUGCAUUCUAGGGCAUUUGAUCUGUUACAAAAUUGUAUCAUCCUCCUACACAAGGAAUUUCAAUUGAAAGUUUGACAGUUCAUAGUUCUUAGAUUCAAUCAUGUGAAUUUAGGUUGUCUCCUCGUGGCUCCACCUACGAUUUACAAAAUUUUGGGCAUGGAAUAUUGUGAAGCACAAGGAAUUUUGUUUCUGCAAUUCUCUUGUGCUCUUAAUUUUGCUUUUAUUUUUAUAUCCGAUUCAUUCGCAUGUCUAACAAAAUUGAAUGACAA